This 561-nucleotide small RNA is filed under the name Pan troglodytes (chimpanzee). Its description in RNAcentral is "processed transcript". Lineage: Eukaryota; Metazoa; Chordata; Mammalia; Primates; Hominidae. The record is from RNAcentral.
AAGAAUGUGCAUCUGGCCCCAGGGUGGCUGAUGCAGCUGGAGAAGAAGUUGCAUUCCCUGCAGCCGCAUGCCUGCUUCCGACUCUUCCUCACCAUGGAGAUCAACCCCAAGGUGCCUGUGAAUCUGCUCCGUGCGGGCCGCAUCUUUGUGUUCGAGCCACCGCCAGGGGUGAAGGCCAACAUGCUGAGGACGUUCAGCAGCAUUCCCGUCUCACGGAUAUGCAAGGUUGAAAAGUAAAAGCCAUGUUUGAUUAUGGGGUGUGAUGAGGUCCCAGAGGAGCAGAGAUGCCCACGGAGAAGCUGGGACUCAGAGUUGUGUCCCCAGGUGGCAGGCAGUCUCCUCUCCCCCAGCACAGGCCCCCGAGACCAGACAGAGCCCUCCCAGGCGCCAAGUGAAGACCAAAACUCUUGGGCGAGAGGAGGGGGAUUGUGGCAGGGGUUUCGUUCUGUCAAUUCUGUUCUAUUUUGUGCCACAUUCACCUUUUCUGACAUUCUUAGAAACUCUGUCUUCUCUAGAUUUCUUACUGGCUGAAUAAAUUCUGAUGGUCUCAUUGGAUGACAC